Molecule: small RNA, 18 nt
Filed under: Arabidopsis thaliana (thale cress)
Lineage: Eukaryota; Viridiplantae; Streptophyta; Magnoliopsida; Brassicales; Brassicaceae
Description: ATSL125040
Source: RNAcentral
ACAAAACCAAAAAAAAAC